AACGAACGUUGGCGGCAUGCCUUACACAUGCAAGUCGAACGGUAGAGGGGGCAACCCCUUGAGAGUGGCGAACGGGUGAGUAAAGCAUCGGAACGUGCCCAGGAGUGGGGGAUAGCUCGGCGAAAGCCGGAUUAAUACCGCAUGUGACCUGAGGGUGAAAGCGGGGGACCGCAAGGCCUCGCGCUCGUGGAGCGGCCGAUGUCAGAUUAGGUAGUUGGUGGGGUAAAGGCCUACCAAGCCGACGAUCUGUAGCUGGUCUGAGAGGACGACCAGCCACACUGGGACUGAGACACGGCCCAGACUCCUACGGGAGGCAGCAGUGGGGAAUUUUGGACAAUGGGCGCAAGCCUGAUCCAGCCAUGCCGCGUGCGGGAAGAAGGCCUUCGGGUUGUAAACCGCUUUUGUCAGGGAAGAAAUCUGCCGGGUUAAUACCCUGGUGGGAUGACGGUACCUGGAGAAUAAGCACCGGCUAACUACGUGCCAGCCGCCGCGGUAA
This 496-nucleotide ribosomal RNA is filed under the name uncultured bacterium. RNAcentral's name for it is "partial 16S ribosomal RNA". It matches the Rfam family "Bacterial small subunit ribosomal RNA", at positions 29 to 523 of the family's 1533-position model. The record is from RNAcentral.